RNAcentral lists this ribosomal RNA (610 nucleotides) under Limnobacter sp. RNAcentral's name for it is "bacterial SSU rRNA". It matches the Rfam family "Bacterial small subunit ribosomal RNA", at positions 31 to 639 of the family's 1533-position model. Lineage: Bacteria; Pseudomonadati; Pseudomonadota; Betaproteobacteria; Burkholderiales; Burkholderiaceae. The record is from RNAcentral.
GGGCAUUGGCGGGCAGCUUAACAUGCAGUCGAACGGUAACAGGGAGCUUGCUCCGCUGACGAGUGGCGAACGGGUGAGUAAUACAUCGGAACGUGCCCAGUAAUGGGGGAUAGCUCGGCGAAAGCCGGAUUAAUACCGCAUACGCCCUGAGGGGGAAAGUGGGGGACCGCAAGGCCUCACGUUAUUGGAGCGGCCGAUGGCUGAUUAGCUAGUUGGUAGGGUAAAGGCCUACCAAGGCGACGAUCAGUAGCUGGUCUGAGAGGACGAUCAGCCACACUGGGACUGAGACACGGCCCAGACUCCUACGGGAGGCAGCAGUGGGGAAUUUUGGACAAUGGGGGAAACCCUGAUCCAGCAAUGCCGCGUGUGCGAAGAAGGCCUUCGGGUUGUAAAGCACUUUUGUCAGGGAAGAAAUCCUUUGGGCUAAUACCCUAGGGGGAUGACGGUACCUGAAGAAUAAGCACCGGCUAACUACGUGCCAGCAGCCGCGGUAAUACGUAGGGUGCAAGCGUUAAUCGGAAUUACUGGGCGUAAAGCGUGCGCAGGCGGUUGUGUAAGACAGGUGUGAAAUCCCCGGGCUUAACCUGGGAAUUGCAUUUGUGACUGCACG